Molecule: RNA transcript, 8896 nt
Organism: Nycticebus coucang (slow loris)
Lineage: Eukaryota; Metazoa; Chordata; Mammalia; Primates; Lorisidae
Exons: 12
Source: RefSeq, a predicted model, not a curated record
CUUCAGUGUUGCAGCUGGAAAUAAAACUGGUCCGCUGCUUGCUAUUCACUACCAGUAAGGCCUGCUGCUGCCACUACCCAAGCACCUCUCUGUCCCACUGCUCUUUCCACUCUGUCUUGGAACAGCUAAUCUAAGAAUUCCUGACACAACACUUGAUUCAGCCAGGAGGUGACAGCAAAUGCAAUCAGAAACUAUUCUAUUGGUGAAGAGGUAUAUUAAGCCCUGCCUGGUUAACCUCUAGCAAGAUUAUUAGAGAAUUAGGAGACGCUCGAAUCGGCAUCUUGCAUGUGGUUAUCAAACCUUUAUGAAAUGAAGUUUUGCAAGUUCACCAGAGAGCCAGGAUAAAUCACUGUUAACCAUGGAUGUCCUUGUGAGGCUAUCUGGAGAAAGGAACAGGUAUCUCAGUCAGGUAAGUGAUUGUUGAACAUGGAAGUAAAUAUUUUGCUUUGACUUUUUGUUGUAUUUGUCAUAUUUGAUAGUUUUCCUAAUAAUGAGCCAACCUUGCAUUUCUGGAAGAAAAUGUCUACUUUUCAAGGAUUUUGAAUCGUGUUUGCUAAAUUUGCUAAUUUUAAUUUUAUUUUCCAUUUUAUAUGUUCAAAAGUGAGACUUUGAGGGGGGAGAGCAGUCUUUGUUAGUCAUUGAUAUUAAAGUCACUGAUGAAAUCUUUUGUUGUCUGCUUUUUUUGAUACUAAAGUUUUGCUCUAUUGCUCUGACCAGAGUACAGUGGCAUCAUAACUCACAGCAACCUCAAACUUCUGGGCUCAAGCAAUCUUUUUGCCUUAGCCUCCCAAGUAGUGAGGACUACAGGCAUGUGCCACCACACUAAACUAAAUUUUCUAUUUUUGGUAGAUAUAGGGUCUCACUCUUGCUCAGGCUGAUCUGGAGCUCCCAAUCUCAGGUGAUCCUCUUGAGAGCACUGGGAUUAUAGGGAUUGCAUUUGCAAAUGACCACAGGAUCCAGAUGUGGUAAAUGUGUAAGAUGGUUCUGAUAUUCUUUUCCUUUUUCUUGAAACACUCCUUUUUCCGGGUGGUGGUGAUGGGGAAGUAUGGGGGUGGUGAGUGCAUUUCUUUUGUUUAUCCACCUUUGAUAGAAACAUUAGAGGAGAGUUUUCUCUAAAAUAUAAACAAGAGUCCAAGUGGAAUGGUAAAGAGUAACUGACACUUUUAUUAGGAGGGUAAUAGGGAGUAUUUGGGAUUGUGGUCAGUUGGAACACAGACCUUUCAUCCAAAGCGGAAGGCUUUAGUGCUUGCUUCCUGGUUGCCCAGUAGAAAUGUGGAUCUCAGAUUGCCAGGAUUUCCAGCUCUUGUCAAAAAGCCAAAUUGGCUUCAUUUUUUUUUUUCUUUCCCACCCUCCCGCCUUCUCCUAUAGCUUCAUAUUUUUUUUGGUUUCUUUUUAUUGUUUUUUUUUUUUUUUUUGAGACAGAGUCUUACUUUGUUCGCCCCCCUGGUAGAGUGUGGUGGUGUCAUACAUCACAGCAACUUCAAACUCAGGCUAAAGCAGUUCUCUUGCUUCAGCCUUCCAAGUAGCUGGGACUAUAGGGUCCCGCCACAAUGCUCGACUAUUUUUAGAAACAAGACCAGUCUUGGUCUAGCUCAGGCUGGUCUCGAACCUGUGAGCUCAGGCAAUCCGCCUGCCUCAGCCUCCCAGAGUGCUAGUAUUACAGGCUUGAGCCACUGUGCCAGCCCAACUUUUUUGGUUUCAAUUUGUUUUAAAUGUUUCAGAAUAUAUUUAUAAAUGCUUUUAUAACCUUACAGCUUCUGCUUCUUCAUAAUUUUGGCUUAUUUGUAAUGUUACCUUUUUCCCACAUGGUACAAAACAUGGGGAUGUAUCACUAUGUGUUCAACUGGGCCAGGAGCUUGGCAGUUUCCCUUGGGCAGUGUUUAAAACUGGUCCACAGUUUUGAAUGCCAUUAUAUAUGUUAGAAUGGAAUAGAUUAGGAAGCAAUGAUAAGAUACAGAUAAGACAAUAGGAAGGGCGGUGCCUGUGGCUCAGUAGAUAGGGUGCCGGCCCCAUAUACCAAGGGUGGUGGGUUUGAACCUGGCCCUGGCUAUAUUGCAACAAAAAAUAGCCGGGCGUUGUGGCGGGCCCCUGUGGUCGCAGCUACUCGGGAGGUUGAGGCAAGAUAAUCGCCUAAGCCAAGAGCUGGGGGUUGCUGUGAGCUGUGACGCCACGGCACUCUACCGAGGGCGACACAAUAACACUCUGUCUCUAAAAUAAAUAAAUAAAUAAAAGAUAGGAAAAUACUAGCUGUCAUCUGUACUUUCCCUUUGGUAAGUACACUCUGUCUCUAAAAAAAAUAAAUAAAUAAAAGAUAGGAAAAUACUAGCUGUCAUCUGUACUUUCCCUUUGGUAAGUACAAGAAGUCCUCCCUAUCAGUGGGUUCCACAUUCAUGAUUUCUGCCAAAUGUCGAUCAAAAAUUUGUGGACAAAACAAUAAAUAACAACACAAUCAUAAGGCUGGGUGUGGUGGUAGUUCUAGCACUCUGGGAGGCUGAGCAAGAUUUCAAGAUCAUCCUGAGCAAGAGUAAGAUCCCAUAUCUACUAAAAAUAGAAAAUCUAGCUGGGCAUCCUAGUUCCCAGCUACUUAGGAGACUGAGGUAGGUGGAUCUCUUGAGCCCAAGAGUUUGAGGUUGUUGUAAGCUAUGUUUAUGCCAUGGCACUUUACCCAGGGCAACAGAGUGAAACUCUGUCUCAAAAAAAAAAAAAAUUAAAAAAAUUUCAAAAUAAGGGCGGCACCUGUGGCUCAAGGAGUAGGGCGCCGGUCCCAUAUGCCGGAGGUGGCGGGUUCAAACCUAGCCCAGCCAAAAACCAAAAAAAAAGAAAAAAAAAAUUUUCAAAAUAAAACGGCAGUAAAAAUAGUGCAAUAAAUCAAUACAGUGUAACAACUAUUUACAUAGCAUUUGCAUUAUAGAUAGAAGGAGGGGCUUUUGGUUUGUACUUUGGGGUUGUCCAAGGUUAUGGGGAUCAAAUAACAGGCUAUUCAAUUCUAGUGAGAGGCCCCACUGGUUUUGGUGGGCUUCGUGGUAAGGAAAACUGCUGAAUUGUGAAUAACAUUCCAUGGUCUGGUCCAUUCCUCCAACCGGAUUCCCCAUGUUCACCCUCUUGCCCAGAUAUGUAGGGUGGGGUUCCACACCUGGAUGGAAAUGGGAUUACAGGUGUGAGGUACGGUACAUACGGGUCACCCAGUCCUUUGGAUGAUGAUAUGUUCAGUAUUAUUCGGCCCUCCUUCAUAAGUGGCGAUGGUUAUACAUUCCUAGGCUGGACAAUGGUAUUCAUUUGGGUUAGGGGAGGAUGGUCUCAUUGGUGGGGUCCCACAGAGGUAGAAUUCGAGGUUCUAUAAGCCUCUUUCACCCUGCAUUGUCCCAUACUCCUGGAGCAUUCUAUAAGUUCCAGACUUAGUACAGAGACCUUCUUGGUUCCACGGAAAUGAAUCAAACAACCUACACAGAUCAGUAGGAAAUACCGGAUCUGGAUUCUGUUCCUUGGCUUUGAGGACUUUAGUACUAUCUGCCCAGGAUAUAUUCACCACCACCCUCCAUUUAGUCCAAGUGGAUAAUACAAAAUAAGUAGUGGUUGAAGUGAGGGUUUUGGGGAGGGAUUUCAAAGCCAAGCAGACACAUAGAAAGCAAAUUAAGAUUUUAAGUCUUAGCUUGAGAGGGUCUUCUCUGGAGAUAGCAGUCCAGGCAGGUUUUUCAUUUUCUCUGGCCUUUUUCACUUGGGAGUGGUGAAUCCAUGCUGUCAGACCAUCUGCCUUUAUAGCCGUUGGGGUGGUAAGGACGACAGUAUAACGGCCUAUCCACUGUGGACUCGGUCCCUCUUCCUGGAAUGUCUUUACAUACACAUGGUCCCCCAGCUUGAAGGCAGGUUCAAAUUUACUACUCCUCCUAUGGACUGGGGUGUGCAUCUUGAACCAGGAAUUGAAGAUCUGAUUGAACCUGAUGGAGGGUUUUGAGAUACUUUAGGAAAGAGUGAUUAGUUAUUUAUGCAAGGUGGGUUUCACAUACUCGGGGGAGUAGGAGAGAGGGUGUGCCAUACAUUAUUUCAUAAGGGGUGAAACCUGCUCUGUAUGGGGUACAUUGUACUCUAAGGGCUGCUAAGGGGAGGAGCUCCGUCCACCUUUCACUGGUCUCUUCAAUGAGUUUGGUUAAGGUUUCUUUUAGGGUCUGGUUCAUUCUGGCCUGAACUCUGGGGCAGAUAGGCACAGUGAAGCUUCCUUUGCAUGCCUAGGGCUUUACUGACUACUUGAGUUAGGGCCGAAAUAAAUGCUGGCCCGUUAUCUGAGCCAAUGGAAAGAGGUAAUCUGAAACUAGGGAUAAUUGCAUUUUAAGAGUUUUUUUGCUGUGGUGAAGGCUGUUUCAUUUUUGGUGGGGAAGACUUCUAUCCAUCCUGAGAAUGUAUCUAUUAAUACUAGGAGGUAUUUAUAUCCUCUGCUGGUAGGGUGGAUUUCAGUAAAGUCAAUUUCCCAACUUUCUCCUGGCAUUUGUCCCCUAAGGCGAAUUCCUUUUGGGAGUUUUGCCCUGCUUUCACAUUUACUUUUUCACAUGUUAACACACUGGGCAGCUGGGCAGCUGUGGACCCGGCAACUUCUGCCAAGGUUUAAAACAAGUACCUUGGUUCCAAAAGUUUUUGCAUUUUCUUACCUCCAAAUGGGUUACUGAAUGGAGUUGUAUCGGCUCCCUCCCUACUGGGUCAGGUAGAUAAAUCAGGGAGUCUCAACCAGCCUCCGAUUUCUUUGGCUCCCUGUUCUUUUGCGAAUUUCUUCUUCAGAGUAUGUGGGGGCUAUAGUGAGGACUGGAGCAGGAAACAGGAUGGUUGUGGGUAGAAUGCCCAGGGGUUUCACUGAGGUUAAGGCCACUUCUCCAGCAGUCUGCUACGGAUUGCCUCUGGGGAAUUAGGCUUCUUGUGCCCUGGCCAGUGGAUGACUGCUACCUUCUUGGGGAGCCAAAGAGCCUCUGAUAAGGCCAGUAUUUCAUUUUUGUUCUUAAUAGUUUUUCCUGCCAAGGUGUGAAGUCCUCUUUCUUUGUAAAUCUGGCCAUUUGUGUAUACUGUCCCAAAUGCAUACCAGCUAUCAGUAUAGAUGUUAAUUGCUUUGUUCUUUCCCCAUUGGAGGGCUUGAGUUAAAGCAAUUAAUUCGGCUUUUUGAGCUGAAGUGCCCACCAGCAAGUCCUGUGCCCAUAUUACCUCAUCCUGGGUGGUCACGGUGGCUCCUGCUUUCCAGGUUUGGUCUCAAAUAUAGCUGCUUCCAUUGGUGUACACUGUGACAUCAGCAUUCUGGUAUGGGGUGUCCUGCAAGUCCAUAAGGCCCUUUUGACAAAGGUCCAGCACAUCUUUGCAGUCAUGGAUGGACUCUUGCAGGUCAUCAUCUGGCAGCAGGGUUGCCGGAUUUAGGCUCAGGGUGGGACUGAAUCUCAGGCAUGGUUGGUCUAGAAGCAGGCUCUAGUACUGGGUAACUGGUGUUAGACAUCUGUCGGCUGCUAGCUCCCUGCAGGAGGUUUUCUACGGCAUGUGGUGCCGUUAGAAUUAAGUCCUGGCCUAAAGUUAGCUUAUCGGUUUCUCAUACUAACAGGGGUGUGGCUGCAACAGCCCGUAAACAACUUGGCCAUCCUGUGGCCACUGGGUCUAGCUGCUUUGACAAAUAGGUUACAGGCCACUUCCAUGGCCCAAGGGCUUGAGUUAGUACACCCUUUGCUAUGCCUUUCACUUCAUGAGUGAACAGAUGGAAGGGCUUUGUAAUGUGUGGGAGUGCUAAGGCAGGAGCUGUGGCUAAGGCCUAUUUUAGGGCCCUAAAAGCUUUAUUUUCUUGCUUGGUCCAUAACAGAGGGCUGUCUCCAGUGGUGGCUACCUAAAAUGGCUUCGCUAUUUCAGCAAAUCCUUGAAUCCACAAACAAGAAUAGUCUUCAGCCCCUAGAAAUCCCCGAACUUGUUUCUUUGUGGCUGGUAUAGGGAUCUGAAGAAUUGCUCAUUUUCUCUCACUGGUCAGAGUUUGUUUGCCUUCUGACAGCAGGUAUCUGAGGUAUCUUUCGUCAGGCAAAUCUCAGCUUUCUUAGCUUAUACCCGGUACCCCAAUUCCUAGAGGUAUUUCAAAAGGCCUGGGGUACACUCCAUCAUAAUUGGUUGUUGCUAGCAGGAUAUCAUCUAUAUACUUCAGGAGAACACAGUUCAUAUAUCUUGCUUUGAAAAUCUUUAGAUCCCUUCCCAAGGCUUCCCCGAACAGAGUGAGGGAGUUUUUGAAGCCUUGGGGGAAUCUUGUCCAUAUGAGUAGACUGGUCCUUCCAGAUUCAGGAUCAUCCAUUCGAAGGUGAGGAUUGGUUGACUGGCUGGGGCUAGUGGGAUGGUGAAGAAGGCAUCUUUUAGGUCCAGAACUGUGAACACUGGAAUUCUGGUGGGAGGAGGCUUAAGAGAGUGUAUGGAUUAGGAACAGUUAGAUGUAUUGUUUCUACUCACUUGUUUACCUCCCAGAGGUCUUGAACCAGCUGGAAAUCUGAUGUUCCCAGCUUCUUGACUGGAAGAAACGGGGUGUUCCAGGAUGACUGGCAUGGGAUCAGAAUUCUAGUUUCUAACAAGCGCUGGACAUGUGGGGCUACCCCCAGGCGAGCCUGGUGGCUCAUUGGAUAUUGUUGAACUUGGACAGCACCAGUGGUGGCCAGGAAAGCUUUCCACACAUCAACUCUGACUCUCUCCCAUUCCUCAGACAUGAGGAGUGUCAGGAAGAGUUGCUGGCAGUCAUCCCAGGUUGGAAGGUGAUUCCACAGGAAGGACUCAAUAAGGGAGGAGGUACUUCCUUGAGGAGGAGAAUGAGAGCUUCACGCCUUGGCUCAGGGUCCGUAUGGGACUGAAGAUGAGAAGCUGAAGUUUUUGGCUGGGGCUGGGUUUGAACCCACCACCUCCAGCAUAUGGGGCCUGCACCCUACUCCUUUGAGCCACAGUCACCGCCCAGCAUUUCUUUAUUAAUAAGCCUUUGGGUUGUGUCUUCCACAGUGUAAAUUCCAUCCAGGUGUCUUUGUACAUGGGGAUCUUGCUUUUGCCCAUGGUGGUCUUAUACUUCUGGCCUCAAGCAAUCAUCCCGCCUCAGCCUCCCAAAGCGUUUGGGGUUAUAAAGUGGUUUCUUUUCAGGUUCAUUCUCCUCCAUCUUCAGGUCUUCAGUCUCAGUUCAACUUCCCAGCUCAUUCACCGAAGACUGCAGACUUGUGUCAGGUUGGAGUAAAGGGCCUCAUCAUAGCUCCUGGACUCAAGAGAUUCUUCUGCCUCAGCCUCUUGAGUAGCUGGGACUACAGGCGUGUGCCACCAUACCCAGCUAAAAACCUGUCUUUUGAUUGGAGUGUUUUUCCAUUUGUGUUUGAUAAGGGUUUCUAUGAAGAUAUUUGUAAAGUGUUUGUCAUAGACACUUUAUAAGUUACAACUAUUGUUAGUUCUUGGGACACUCACCAUGUGACAGAACAACAGCAGACCCUGGUGCCUGGGAGGACUUCAUGGAUCCAGCAGCAACCUGGAGUGGUGCUCCUCUGAAGAAAUCCUACUCGGAUGGAUAUAAUACAACCUGCUAAGUGUCCUAGCACUUAUCAGGUUGUAUUAUCAUUGUCCGUGUCUAUGGCUCUCGUCUACCAGACCCUAAAUUCCUUAAGGGCAAGGACAAUGCCUUAUUCACCUUUAUAACCGUGAUGCCCAAUCCGGUGCACAUUGUAGGCCUCAUUAAAUGUUUGUUGAAUGAAAAAAUGAAUCAUCAACAGACAUUAAUUGGGCGCUUGCUCUGUGAUCUCCAUGGGCUCAGCUCUGCUUGUCCCCAUCAGUUGUCACGAACGUCCAUGCUUUCUUCAGAAUGCUUACUCCUGAAGCUUAUUCCUGUCUUCUAAUUCUUGUGCCAAGGACUUUUCUGUGUAUUGCGAUGAUAGCGAGUGCACUUCAUCUCAAGUACCAUCUCUAAUUGAAUAAUAAAGCCUGCCUCAUUAUGUUUUACAAAAAGAAUCUAAAGUCAGGUUUCAUCUCAGUAUGAAAGAGGGUUACAAUUAAUUAGUGAUGUCUGCUGAGGGUGGGAGAAUGGGGAAUAGCACAAAUACCUUGUAUAUGUUAUUUUUGUGUUUUCUAUGAAAUACUCCAUUUAUAGGCCGCAUUUUAGUCUUGGCUACUUGCAGAUGUUGUAUGACUAUUGCUGGCUACUAUAAUUGUUGCCAGUUGCACCUUGGGUGGGACCAGAGUAGUUGUCAUUGUCUGAGCAGGAACCUCAUCCUCAGUGUCUGGGGUUUGCUCCUGUGGCUGGUAUUCACAUUUUCCCUUUCAACUUUACUAUAGCUAUUCCCUUGCCUGCAUUGACAGAUAGGCCUCCAUUUUUCUAUUCACCACUCAGCAGGCUUAUAUUUUCAUUCUUAUUUGGUGAACUUAGUCAUUGUAUAAUGAGCAGCCUUUCCUAUUACAGAUGUGACAAGCAAAACAGAAGUUAAAACCACUCAGGGCCUUACCGUGAGUCAUAUAAGCACCCUUUUAAUAUGGGAGUAAAUUUGUUUGCAGACCAUGGAGCAGGAGGAACUGAGAAGAAUCAUUGUAGAUGUAGGAAAGUGAUAACAGAUGGAGUAAGAUCUUGAGGGAUGAUGCAAGUGACAGCUGGAGGGUGAAACCUAUGACUGUAGAACACGUGCAGGUUGAGGGGUCCUUAGAGAAAAGGAGCUACAUCUUCACUGGAGGAUAAGAGUAAGGAGGAAGACUUAGCAAGCAUGUUGAAGAUUUGUGAUUGCAGAGAUGAAUGAUGGAGGGGAAACUGAUCAGGGACAAGAUUAUGGAGACAAAGCUGCUGAAAUAGAAAACUGGAGGGCUGGAUAUGAACUAGAGUCUCUGUAAGAAAUGAGUUUGAAACUACAUUAGAAACCCAAGAAAAUAUAGAGUGGUUUUGGUUCAUUGUCACAAA